UUGAAAAGUUAACCAAUUUAGACUCAAGAAUUACUCGAUUCGGAACCCUGAGCUAGGAGAUAUGGUCUUCUGAAAUCGAAUUGUUGCUGAUGUUGAUAUUCCGUUUUAUUGCGUUGUGCUUCUCAAACCAAACCUUAUGUCCUCUUAUUUCAAAGGUAUAAAUAACCUAAUCAUCUCUUCUUUCUCAUUUGUGUCGAUUAUUAAGGCCAAAAGUUCUUGGUUAGUUGGAAAAAUAUAUUCAAAUUUGCUUGAUUGAUUAAUUGAAAUCAGAAACCAAUUAAUAUUUCCAAGGUUUUUCUUGUUUGAUUUUGCGAUAAAGAUUUAUUAAUUCCUAUCAUUAUUAUUGGAGGUGAUUCUAUUUUGGAGAAUGGUCGAUUAUAAAUGGGAUUUCAAUUAGUAUUGUAGUAGAGCUAUUGUUUGGCUAAGUAAGACUAGAAUAAAGUUUGGUUUAGAUUUGUUAUUCGAAUUAGUAUUGGUGGAUGAUCAAUUACUUGUUAUUUUUUUGUGAGGUGGUAUAUGAAGAGUAAUUGAGGAGAUUAAUUCAAGUUAAGAUGGUGAUCAAGUCUAUGAUUCUAUCUUGGAGGUUGUAUGUUUUUGUUCUUGAAUUCAUUAAGGAAAUGAUCAGCAUUAUUUGAGGUUUGUGGAGGCUUAAGCUGAAUUCAAUGGAGCUUGAUUGUACUCAAUGGAUUUAAAUUAUGUGUUAUAUAUUAAGGUUGUAUUCAUUUAGUAUAUGAAUUGUUGUAAGUUUAAUUGUGAGGUGAAAGGUUUAUUAUUUAUUCAAGGAUUAUUCAUUUGA
Molecule: long non-coding RNA, 796 nt
Organism: Spinacia oleracea (spinach)
Lineage: Eukaryota; Viridiplantae; Streptophyta; Magnoliopsida; Caryophyllales; Amaranthaceae
Exons: 2
Source: RefSeq, a predicted model, not a curated record